Molecule: ribosomal RNA, 500 nt
Filed under: uncultured bacterium
Lineage: Bacteria
Description: bacterial SSU rRNA
Rfam family: Bacterial small subunit ribosomal RNA
Source: RNAcentral
GAUGAACGCUAGCGGGAGGCCUAAUACAUGCAAGUCGAGCGGUAGGGUCCUUCGGGACCUGAGAGCGGCGCACGGGUGAGUAACGCGUACGUAACCUGCCUCGUAGCGGGGAAUAGCCCCGGGAAACUGGGAUUAAUGCCCCAUAGUGUUACUGGAUCGCAUGGUCUGGUAACUAAAGUUCCGGCGCUACGAGAUGGACGUGCGUGCUAUUAGCUAGUUGGUGAGGUAACGGCUCACCAAGGCGAUGAUAGCUAGGGGGCGUGAGAGCGUGGCCCCCCACACGGGUACUGAGACACGGACCCGACUCCUACGGGAGGCAGCAGUAAGGAAUAUUGGACAAUGGGCGCAAGCCUGAUCCAGCCAUCCCGCGUGCAGGAUGACGGCCCUAUGGGUUGUAAACUGCUUUUAGGGGAGAAGAAACCUGUUCCUGCGGGAGCAGCUGACGGUACCCCCUGAAUAAGCACCGGCUAACUCCGUGCCAGCAGCCGCGGUAAUACGGA